GACCUCAUAGCUCAGUUGGCUAGAGCGCCGGCUGCACUAAAGCCUUCGACUUGGUGGCGUGGAUUCGAAUCCCACGGAGGCCG
This 83-nucleotide transfer RNA is filed under the name Schistocephalus solidus. It matches the Rfam family "tRNA". From Rfam's summary of the family: Transfer RNA (tRNA) molecules are approximately 80 nucleotides in length. The record is from Rfam by way of RNAcentral. Lineage: Eukaryota; Metazoa; Platyhelminthes; Cestoda; Diphyllobothriidea; Diphyllobothriidae.